AUUGAACGCUGGCGGCAGGCCUAACACAUGCAAGUCGAACGAGUGGCGGACGGGUGAGUAAUGUCUGGGAAACUGCCCGAUGGAGGGGGAUCACUACUGGAAACGGUAGCUAAUACCGCAUACCAUCGGAUGUGCCCCGCUGGGAUUAGCGUGUAGGUGGGGUAACGGCUCACCUAGGCGACGAUCCCUAGCUGGUCUGAGAGGAUGACCAGCCACAAUGGAACUGAGACACGGUCCAGACUCCUACGGGAGGCAGCAGUGGGGAAUAUUGCACAAUGGGCGCAAGCCUGAUGCAGCAAUGCCGCGUGUAUGAAGAAGGCCGUCGGGGUGUAAAGUACUUUCAGCGAGGAGGCGUUACUCGCAGAAGAAGCACCGGCUAACUCCGUGCCAGCAGCCGCGGUAAUAC
Molecule: ribosomal RNA, 406 nt
Filed under: uncultured bacterium
Lineage: Bacteria
Description: partial 16S ribosomal RNA
Rfam family: Bacterial small subunit ribosomal RNA
Source: RNAcentral